GAGGGAUCAUUACCGAGUUUUCAACUCCCGUUACACCCUUCUGUGAACCUACCUAUCGUUGCUUCGGCGGACUCGCCCCAGCCCGGACGCGGACUGGACCAGCGGCCCGCCGGGGACCUCAAACUCUUGUAUUGUAUUCCAGCAUCUUCUGAAUAGGCCGCAAGGCACAACAAAUGAAUC
This 180-nucleotide unclassified non-coding RNA is filed under the name Beauveria bassiana. RNAcentral's name for it is "ITS1". Lineage: Eukaryota; Fungi; Ascomycota; Sordariomycetes; Hypocreales; Cordycipitaceae. The record is from RNAcentral.